RNAcentral lists this transfer RNA (64 nucleotides) under Xyloterini sp. Its description in RNAcentral is "tRNA-Ile". Lineage: Eukaryota; Metazoa; Arthropoda; Insecta; Coleoptera; Curculionidae. The record is from RNAcentral.
AAUAGAAUGCCUGACCAAAGGAUUAUUUUGAUAGGAUAAACUACGUAAGUAAUUACUUCUAUUA